RNAcentral lists this transfer RNA (72 nucleotides) under Ovis aries (sheep). It matches the Rfam family "tRNA". Rfam says of the family: Transfer RNA (tRNA) molecules are approximately 80 nucleotides in length. Their secondary structure includes four short double-helical elements and three loops (D, anti-codon, and T loops). The record is from Rfam by way of RNAcentral. Lineage: Eukaryota; Metazoa; Chordata; Mammalia; Artiodactyla; Bovidae.
UCCCUGGUGGCUCAGAUGGUAAAGCAUCUGUCUACAAUGCAGGAAAGCUGGGUUCGAUCCCUGGGUGGGGAA